This 1475-nucleotide ribosomal RNA is filed under the name uncultured cyanobacterium. RNAcentral describes it as "bacterial SSU rRNA". It matches the Rfam family "Bacterial small subunit ribosomal RNA". Lineage: Bacteria; Bacillati; Cyanobacteriota. The record is from RNAcentral.
AGAAUUCGCCCUUAGAGUUUGAUCCUGGCUCAGGAUGAACGCUGGCGGUAUGCUUAACACAUGCAAGUCGAACGGUGUCUUCGGACAUAGUGGCGGACGGGUGAGUAACGCGUGAGAAUCUGGCUUCAGGUCGGGGACAACCACUGGAAACGGUGGCUAAUACCGGAUAUGCCGAGAGGUGAAAGAUUAAUUGCCUGAAGAUGAGCUCGCGUCUGAUUAGCUAGUUGGGAGUGUAAGAGACUACCAAGGCGACGAUCAGUAGCUGGUCUGAGAGGAUGAUCAGCCACACUGGGACUGAGACACGGCCCAGACUCCUACGGGAGGCAGCAGUGGGGAAUUUUCCGCAAUGGGCGAAAGCCUGACGGAGCAAUACCGCGUGAGGGAGGAAGGCUCUUGGGUUGUAAACCUCUUUUCUCAAGGAAGAAAAAAAUGACGGUACUUGAGGAAUAAGCAUCGGCUAACUCCGUGCCAGCAGCCGCGGUAAUACGGAGGAUGCAAGCGUUAUCCGGAAUGAUUGGGCGUAAAGCGUCCGCAGGUGGCUGUGAAAGUCUGCUGUUAAAGAAUGAGGCUCAACCUCAUCAGAGCAGUGGAAACUACACGGCUAGAGUGCGUUCGGGGUAGAGGGAAUUCCUGGUGUAGCGGUGAAAUGCGUAGAUAUCAGGAAGAACACCGGUGGCGAAGGCGCUCUACUAGGCCGCAACUGACACUGAGGGACGAAAGCUAGGGGAGCGAAUGGGAUUAGAUACCCCAGUAGUCCUAGCCGUAAACGAUGGAUACUAGGCGUGGCUUGUAUCGACCCGAGCCGUGCCGUAGCUAACGCGUUAAGUAUCCCGCCUGGGGAGUACGCACGCAAGUGUGAAACUCAAAGGAAUUGACGGGGGCCCGCACAAGCGGUGGAGUAUGUGGUUUAAUUCGAUGCAACGCGGAGAACCUUACCAAGACUUGACAUGUCGCGAACUUCGGUGAAAGCUGAAGGUGCCUUCGGGAGCGCGAACACAGGUGGUGCGUGGCUGUCGUCAGCUCGUGUCGUGAGAUGUUGGGUUAAGUCCCGCAACGAGCGCAACCCUCGUUUUUAGUUGCCAGCAUUAAGUUGGGCACUCUAAAGAGACUGCCGGUGACAAACCGGAGGAAGGUGGGGAUGACGUCAAGUCAGCAUGCCCCUUACGUCUUGGGCUACACACGUACUACAAUGCUACGGACAAAGGGCAGGUACACAGCGAUGUGAUGCAAAUCUCAGAAACCGUAGCUCAGUUCAGAUCGCAGGCUGCAACUCGCCUGCGUGAAGGAGGAAUCGCUAGUAAUUGCAGGUCAGCAUACUGCAGUGAAUUCGUUCCCGGGCCUUGUACACACCGCCCGUCACACCAUGGAAGCUGGCAACGCCCGAAGUCAUUACUCCAACUUUUCGGAGAGGAGGAUGCCUAAGGCAGUGCUGGUGACUGGGGUGAAGUCGUAACAAGGUAACCAAGGGCGAAUUC